This 164-nucleotide ribosomal RNA is filed under the name Melicytus lanceolatus. RNAcentral's name for it is "5.8S ribosomal RNA". It matches the Rfam family "5.8S ribosomal RNA". From Rfam's summary of the family: 5.8S ribosomal RNA (5.8S rRNA) is a component of the large subunit of the eukaryotic ribosome. It is transcribed by RNA polymerase I as part of the 45S precursor that also contains 18S and 28S rRNA. Functionally, it is thought that 5.8S rRNA may be involved in ribosome translocation. The record is from RNAcentral. Lineage: Eukaryota; Viridiplantae; Streptophyta; Magnoliopsida; Malpighiales; Violaceae.
UAAACGACUCUCGGCAACGGAUAUCUCGGCUCUCGCAUCGAUGAAGAACGUAGCGAAAUGCGAUACUUGGUGUGAAUUGCAGAAUCCCGUGAACCAUCGAGUCUUUGAACGCAAGUUGCGCCCGAAGCCUUCUGGCCGAGGGCACGUCUGCCUGGGUGUCACGC